Molecule: ribosomal RNA, 759 nt
Filed under: Parahaemophilus parainfluenzae
Lineage: Bacteria; Pseudomonadati; Pseudomonadota; Gammaproteobacteria; Pasteurellales; Pasteurellaceae
Description: Haemophilus parainfluenzae bacterial SSU rRNA
Rfam family: Bacterial small subunit ribosomal RNA
Source: RNAcentral
AUUGAACGCUGGCGGCAGGCUUAACACAUGCAAGUCGAACGGUAACAUAAAGGAGCUUGCUUCUUUGAUGACGAGUGGCGGACGGGUGAGUAAUGCUUGGGAAUCUAGCUUAUGGAGGGGGAUAACUACGGGAAACUGUAGCUAAUACCGCGUAGUAUCGGAAGAUGAAAGUGUGGGACCUUCGGGCCACAUGCCAUAGGAUGAGCCCAAGUGGGAUUAGGUAGUUGGUGAGGUAAAGGCUCACCAAGCCGACGAUCUCUAGCUGGUCUGAGAGGAUGACCAGCCACACUGGGACUGAGACACGGCCCAGACUCCUACGGGAGGCAGCAGUGGGGAAUAUUGCGCAAUGGGGGCAACCCUGACGCAGCCAUGCCGCGUGAAUGAAGAAGGCCUUCGGGUUGUAAAGUUCUUUCGGUAGCGAGGAAGGCAUUUAGUUUAAUAGACUAGGUGAUUGACGUUAACUACAGAAGAAGCACCGGCUAACUCCGUGCCAGCAGCCGCGGUAAUACGGAGGGUGCGAGCGUUAAUCGGAAUAACUGGGCGUAAAGGGCACGCAGGCGGUGACUUAAGUGAGGUGUGAAAGCCCCGGGCUUAACCUGGGAAUUGCAUUUCAUACUGGGUCGCUAGAGUACUUUAGGGAGGGGUAGAAUUCCACGUGUAGCGGUGAAAUGCGUAGAGAUGUGGAGGAAUACCGAAGGCGAAGGCAGCCCCUUGGGAAUGUACUGACGCUCAUGUGCGAAAGCGUGGGGAGCAAACAGG